Molecule: non-coding RNA, 228 nt
Filed under: Vairimorpha ceranae BRL01
Lineage: Eukaryota; Fungi; Microsporidia; Nosematidae
Description: Nosema ceranae BRL01 Archaeal large subunit ribosomal RNA
Rfam family: Archaeal large subunit ribosomal RNA
Source: Rfam by way of RNAcentral
GAUAGUACGAGAGGAACUCUAAGUGAUGACCACUGGUAGUGCGAUUAACUAUUAAGUUAUGUUGCUUAGCUACGUCAUUUCGAUUAAGGCUGAAAGCCUCUUAAGCCUGAAGCGUAGCUCAAGGAUAUUUUUUUGUAGAAUACUACUCUUUUAAGCAGAACUGUAAGAAUGAAGGUGUAUGCCGACAUUUUGAGGUUACUGCUUUUUUGUUAAUAAAGUAGGUUAAAA